CGGAAUUCAAUUUCUCCCUGAACCGCAAGUUCUGAAAGGCGGACCUUUCCAAAUCCCGCUCUUUUUUUCUUCAAUUCAGUUCUUCGUGGCUUUGUGCUGUGGGAUCUUCAAUUCAAACACCCCCAAUCUCAACACUGCCAUGCUUCAGAUACACAAUCACAACCUUUCAUCAUUCUCUUCUUAUCUAACGCAUACUCUUCCUUCGUAGACUGGAGCUGAGGCUAGAGGAAACUAGUUAGUCAAUGUCAAGAUGCACCACCACUAUCAAAAAACUCAGGCAUUCUUGCCUUGGAUUAUUAGUGAAACGCCCAAAACUGAACCCCACAUCACACUGCAUCAGAGUUGGCCUAUUUUCAUCAUCAUCGCCAUCCCAACUGGAGAACAUUCUCCUGGUGGCAUUUCUAACCAAGAACCUCUCUGAGUCUGGCACUCGUAAUCUCGACCCAGAUACCAUUCCUCUUUCAGAGCAUCUUGUUCUUCAAAUCCUACGAAAAAGCUCGCUUCACGUCUCUAGGAAAAUUGAUUUCUUCAAAUGGUGUUCUCUCAGACAUAAUUACAAGCACUCUGAGUGCACCUAUUCGCACAUGUUUCGCACUUUGUGCCGCGCUGGGUACCUUGAGGAGGUCCCCAAUUUGCUAAAUUCAAUGAAGGAUAAUGGUGUAGUUGUUAGUUCUGAUACCUUUAAGUUUCUACUAGAUGCAUUUAUUCGAUCGGGUAAAUUUGACUUUGCACUUGAGAUCCUUGAUCACAUGGAGGAAUUAGGAACUAAUUUGAAUACCCACAUAUAUGACUCUGUCAUUGUGGCACUGGCUAGGAAAAAUCAGGUAGGUUUGGCCUUGUCCAUCUUCUUUAAGCACCUAGAAGCCUCCAAUGGUAUGGCCAAAGAGGAUGCUGCUGGUAAUGUUGUUGGUGUUUCACUGCCUGGUUCCAUUGCAUGUAAUGCAUUGUUUGCUGCACUUAGAAAGGCAGACAUGAGGGAAGAAUUCAGAAAGGUUUUUGACAAACUGAGGGCAAAGGGCUUUGAGUUGGAUACAUGGGGUUACAACAUUUCCAUUCAUGCAUUUGGUUUUUGGGGUGAUCUAGCCACCGCAUUAAGGCUUUUCAAAGAGAUGAAGGAAAAGAGUUUGGGUUCUGGAUCAUUUGGUCCUGAUUUGUGCACGUAUAAUAGCCUCAUUCAUGUACUAUGCUUGCAUGGAAAGGUGAAAGAUGCAUUGAUUGUUUAUGAGGAAUUGAAAGUAUCUGGUCAUGAGCCCGAUUCCUUUACAUAUCAAAUACUUAUUCAGGGUUGCUCUAAAUCAUGUCGAAUGAAUGAUGCAGCAAAGAUAUUUAGCGAGAUGCAGUACAAUGGGUUCCUUCCAGAUACCAAGGUGUACAAUUCUCUCCUUGAUGGGAUGUUCAAGGCAAGGAAAUUAAUGGAAGCAUGCCAGUUGUUUGAGAAGAUGGUUCAGGAUGGAGUGAGGGCCUCAUCCUGGACAUACAAUAUUUUGAUUGAUGGGUUGUGUAAGAAUGGUAGGGCUGAGGCCGGUUACAGUUUAUUUUGUGACCUGAAGAAGAAGGGCAAGUUUGUGGAUGCCGUUACUUACAGCAUUGUUGUGCUACUACUUUGUAGGGAAGGUCAACUUGAGAAAGCACUACUCUUGGUGGAAGAAAUGGAGGAGAGAGGCUUUGUUGUUGACCUAGUUACUAUAACGUCACUCUUGAUUGAAUUUCAUAAACAAGGUAGGUGGGACUGCACAGAGAAGUUAAUGAAGCACAUAAGAGACGGUAAUCUAGUACCAAAUGUUCUCAACUGGCAGGCGAACAUGGAGGCUUCAUUGAAAAAUCCGCAGAGCGGAAGAAAGGACUAUACACCCAUGUUCCCAUCUAAUGGCAACCUUAAUGAGAUUAUGAGUUUAUUAAGAUACCCUUACUUAGAGAACCGUAGUUCAGAUGGUAGUGCAGUUGAGGAUGAGAACAGUUCAUCUAGUGAAACUGAUCAGUGGUCAUCAUCCCCAUAUAUGGAUCAUUUAGCCAAUCAAGUUGAGUCUACUGAUCAUUCUUCUCAGCUAUUUUCACUGGCUAGAGGCCGAAGAGUUCAAGUUAAGAGGAUAGACUCUUUUGAUAUUGAUAUGGUUAACACUUUCUUGUCCAUAUUUUUGGCCAAGGGAAAGCUGAGCUUGGCUUGCAAGUUGUUUGAGAUAUUCAGUGAUAUGGGUGUGAACCCCGUGAGUUACACGUACAAUUCUAUCAUGAGUUCUUUUGUCAAGAAAGGCUAUUUUAGUGAGGCAUGGGAUGUCCUUAAUGAAAUGGGUGAAAAGUUUUGCCCCGCAGAUAUAGCAACAUAUAAUAUGAUAAUUCAAGGGUUGGGAAAGAUGGGAAGGGCAGAUCUUGCCAGCUCUGUUCUAGAUAAGCUAAUGAAGCAAGGUGGUUACCUUGACACAGUUAUGUACAACACCCUGAUUAACGCAUUGGGGAAGGCUGGCAGGAUUGAUGAAGCUAAAGUGCUUUUUGAACAGAUGAAAAGCAGUGGAAUAAAUCCCGAUGUGGUCACUUACAAUACUCUGAUUGAAGUUCAUAGCAAGGCAGGUCGUUUGAAGGACGCAUAUAAGUUCUUAAAAAUGAUGCUGGAUGCUGGCUGCCUGCCAAACAAUGUCACUGACACGACUUUGGACUUCCUGGCAAUAGAGAUUGAGAAAAAAAGGUACCGAAAGGCAUCAAUCUUGGGUGAGAAGGAUGAUUCCAAUUGAGGUAUCUUUACUCAUGAGUCAAGAGGUUGGUUGAAGAAUUAUCAGAUAGUGAGUGUUUCAGCCGAAAAUCCUCAGUAGCAAGUCUUUCAGGAGAAGAUCCUCUUGGAACUGACCCGACAUUUUAACCGAUAAUGGAAUUACGUCAGGUGCCAUCUUGAGCUAUAUGCUUUCCACUUCAUAUUCCAAUUCAAUGUUUCCUAGUAAAUUCUGUACUGUUAACCAGAAGAAUGCAAAAUGGUACAGAUUGGAACAGCAUUCUACAAUUGCUAGCCACAUAUGCACAGAUUAAUAUCAAAUUAGCCGAUUGUGUGUCAUCCCAUGGUUUCAUUGCAUGUUUCAGAUUCACGGAUUUCCCCUAGAUGGUGUACCUGGUUGCUUGAUAUAAUUUAGAGGAAGAUGUGCCGCUCUGCAAAAGGUCAUCAUACUGCGAAGGCUCAAUUAGUACUUCCAACGGCUUGAAGUUCAAUAUUGCCCUUCAGGAGAAAUAUAACAUCAGGAACGGGUACUUGAAAAGCGACUUAUUUUGAAGCCCAUGUCUGUUAAUCAUCAAAAUGGAUUAUUACUGCUAAUUUAUCCAAGGCAGAUUAAAGCUAAAUUUAUGUAUUAGGUUGGUUAUAUAUCAUUAAAUGAUUGAUUCCUUGAAGCUUUGCACAUUUCUUCUUCAUGUAUCUCGUUAAACAAUCAGAAUACUUUUAUAUUUUUCGAAUUGUUAAG
RNAcentral lists this unclassified non-coding RNA (3440 nucleotides) under Hevea brasiliensis (rubber tree). The record is from RNAcentral. Lineage: Eukaryota; Viridiplantae; Streptophyta; Magnoliopsida; Malpighiales; Euphorbiaceae.